This 211-nucleotide unclassified non-coding RNA is filed under the name Camarophyllopsis atrovelutina. RNAcentral's name for it is "internal transcribe spacer 2". Lineage: Eukaryota; Fungi; Basidiomycota; Agaricomycetes; Agaricales; Clavariaceae. The record is from RNAcentral.
UGUAUCAAACCAAUCAACUUGUUUGAUUGGUCUUGGAUGUUGAGGGUUGCUGGAUUUUUAUGAUCAGCUCCUUUUAAAUAUAUUAGCUUGGAAUGUAUGAAGCCAUUUUAACUUAGGCUAAUAUGAAUAUCUAUUAAAUGCUUUUGUUAAUAUGCUUUGUCUGAGCUUAUAACUGUCCUUAUGGACUGCCAUAGGCAUUUUACAACUUGAU